Molecule: ribosomal RNA, 1626 nt
Filed under: Triticum aestivum (bread wheat)
Lineage: Eukaryota; Viridiplantae; Streptophyta; Magnoliopsida; Poales; Poaceae
Description: partial small subunit ribosomal RNA
Source: RNAcentral
AUGGCCGCGAACCAGACACCCAGAGCUCCCACCCACGCUGAUCCACUGCAGGCGCCAUCCACAGGCUCGGAAUCAAUCCACAACGAGAGCAGUGAGGCGCGCCUCCGCCGGAUCCACGCCAACCUACGCCUGCUUGACCCGCCCGUGGCCCCGUCCGCCCGCGCCCUCGGCCUCCUCGACUUCGUCCGCCUCGACCUGUCCUCCUCCGGCGCCCCGCGCCCUGACCUAGUCGCCGAGCUCAUCGCCAACUACGAGCCAGAGUACUCGAAGCCCGGAUGGAGCUCCGUCCGUGGCCAAAAAAUCGAGGACUCCCUUGAUUCAUUCGCCCAGGCGCUCUGCCUCCCAGGAAGACCUAGACGGUCUGGUCCUGCUAGCACCGUCGUGGCCUCCGCUGCCAAAGAGUUCAUGAAUAUUUACAUUCUGGCGCCAAUAAAGGCUUCCACUGACAGGAAGCGCAGGCUGCCUAUUGUGUUAGAUUGCAACUCGAGCUGUGUGCAGUAUCGUCGGGCGCAUCGUGUUUACUGGACGGGGCUACUCUGGGACCGAGUGGACGAUGAAAUGGAACACCUGAUUAAGAAGAGCACCAACAGGGCAUGCUACUACGGUGCAUACCUGCAGAGGCUAAUCUGGGCGCAGAGGCCAGAUCUCUUCCAGCUGCCACCGCAACCAUUCGUGGCAGAUGCGCCAUCUGAGCCAGUGCCAUUGGAGUCCCAUAAGGAACGAGGAAUCAAUCGAUCAACAAUCAAUGACAAUCAGAAUCGUGGCUCUGAAGCGAUGUCUGAGAAUAUUGAAGCAAGGUCUGAGAAGGUGAAGGUUGAUGCGGCUUUAGAGAAGAUCAAUGCGGCAUCCAAGGUGAUGAUAGAUACGGCGUUAGAGAAGAUCGAUGCAGCAUCCAAGGUGAUGAUAGAUGCGGCGUUGGAGAAGAUAGAUGCAGCAUCCAAGGUGGUGAUAGAUGCGGCGUUGGAGAAGAUAGAUGCAGCAUCCAAGGUGGUGAUAGAUGCGGCGUUGGAGAAGAUCGAUGCGGCGUCCAAGAUGAUUGAAGCCACAUCCAAGCAGCAUGACGCUAGAGCUGGCGAGCAAGAUGCUAACAUGCAGGAGAUGCAGUCACUCGUCCAGAUGCUGGUUACCAAGGAACGACAAAGCAAUGUCGAGUUGCAACGUGCUCGGAAAAUUCUCAUAGAUGAACUGCAGAAGUUUACAAAUGUGCAGGCACAUAUAGGGAUCAAAAGGAUGGGUGAGCUGGAUCUGAAAGUAUUUGCCAAUGCUUGCAGCAAAAAUGCAACACAAGAAGAUGCACAAAUUAACUCUGCUAUUCUUUGUUCAAAAUGGGAAGCUGAAAUCGCAAACCCAGGCUGGCAUCCUUUUAGGAUAGUUAUGGUUGAUGGUAAAGAGACGGAAAUUCUUUGGGAGGAGGAUGACAAUCUUCGCCGCUUAAAAGAGGAGCAUGGUGAGGAAAUCUACAGCUUAGUGACCAAGGCGCUGCUUGAGAUGAACGAGUACAACCCCAGCGGACGCUAUGCCGCACCGGAGCUGUGGAACUGUAAGGAUGACAGGAAAGCAACGCUGGAGGAAGCCAUCCAGUUCCUCCUGAGACAGCUGCAGUCACAUAAGAGGAAGCGCCGGUGA